AACGCACCUUGCGCUCCUUGGUAUUCCGAGGAGCAUGCCUGUUUGAGUGUCAUUAAAUUCUCAACCUCCACCGGCUUUGCUGCUUGGUGUUGGCUUGGAUGUGGGGGAUUUCUGCAGGCUCUUCACAGAGUCAGCUCCCCUGAAAUGCAUUAGCGGUGACCUUGAUGGCCAUUGGUGUGAUAACUAUCUACGCCAUUGGAUGUCGCGCUGUUCGCUGCUGCUAACGGUCCAUUAGCUUGGACAAUUUAUGACAAUUUUGACCUCAAAUCAGGUAGGACUACCCGCUGAACUUAA
RNAcentral lists this unclassified non-coding RNA (294 nucleotides) under uncultured Crepidotus. RNAcentral's name for it is "sequence contains ITS2". The stretch from base 1 to 52 matches the Rfam family "5.8S ribosomal RNA", at positions 103 to 154 of the family's 154-position model. Lineage: Eukaryota; Fungi; Basidiomycota; Agaricomycetes; Agaricales; Crepidotaceae. The record is from RNAcentral.